AGGAAGCGAGAAGUCGACGCGCCGACCCCCGCAAGGGGGGCGAGGCGUCCGGCCCUCCGCGAGCAUCCGCGUGGGUGUGGGUUACGGACCCCGUCCGAUCCCGUUCCCACCGCGGGGCUGUCCGCGAUCAUGGAGGUGUCCUCGGACGGCGUCGAAUCACUCAAAGUUCUCCAGUCCGCGACGCUACGGCUUGGAUGGUCCACCCGACCCGUCUUGAAACACGGACCAAGGAGUCUAACAUGCGCGCAAGUCGUUGGGUCGGACACGCUCCGCUAAACCCAUAGGCGCAAUGAAAGUGAAGGCCGCCGUUCGGGCGGCCGAGGGAGGACGGGGCCGGCCGGGCGCUCCGGUGCUCGGCGGUCCCCGCACCCCCGGGGCGUCUGAUCCCUCAUCGCGAGGGGAGGCGCACCCAGAGCGCACACGUUGGGACCCGAAAGAUGGUGAACUAUGCCUGGCCAGGACGAAGUCAGGGGAAACCCUGAUGGAGGUCCGUAGCGAUUCUGACGUGCAAAUCGAUCGUCGGAGCUGGGUAUAGGGGCGAAAGACUAAUCGAACCAUCUAGUAGCUGGUUCCCUCCGAAGUUUCCCUCAGGAUAGCUUGCGCUCGGAGGAGAGUCUCAUCCGGUAAAGCGAAUGAUUAGAGGCCUUGGGGCCGAAACGGCUUCAACCUAUUCUCAAACUUUAAAUGGGUGAGAACUCCGGCUUGCUCGACCGAUCGAAGCCGGAGACGGGGCCGUCCCUCGGGACGGACCCCCGGGAUCGGAGUGCAUAGUGGGCCACUUUUGGUAAGCAGAACUGGCGCUGUGGGAUGAACCAAACGACGGGUUAAGGCGCCCGAAUCGACGCUCAUGGGAAACCAUGAAAGGUGUUGGUUGCUUAAGACAGCAGGACGGUGGCCAUGGAAGUCGGAAUCCGCUAAGGAGUGUGUAAUAACUCACCUGCCGAAGCAACUAGCCCUGAAAAUGGAUGGCGCUGAAGCGUCGUGCCUAUACCCGGCCGUCGCGGCAGGGCGGACCCGGCCUCGCGUCGGGUGCCGCUUGAUGCGGCGACGAGUAGGAGGGUCGCGGCGGCGCGCGCAGAAGGGUCUGGGCUCGAGCCUGCCUGGAGCCGCCGCCGGUGCAGAUCUUGGUGGUAGUAGCAAAUACUCCAGCGAGGCCCUGGAGGACUGAUGUGGAGAAGGGUUUCGUGUGAACAGCCGUUGCACACGAGUCAGUCGAUCCUAAGCCCUAGGAGAAAUCCGACGCCAACGGCGACGGGAGAAAUUUUGAAAGAGAAAGAAACCCGUUGAUCGGGCGAAAGGGAAUCCGGUUCCUAUUCCGGAACCCGGCAGCGGAACCGCUGUUUGUCGGGCCCUCACAAGGGGUUCGUCAGGGUAACCUAAAAGGGCCCGGAGACGCCGUCGGGAGCCCCGGAAAGAGUUUUCUUUUCUGCAUGAGCGUUCGAGUUCCCUG
Molecule: ribosomal RNA, 1450 nt
Filed under: Griseargiolestes albescens (coastal flatwing damselfly)
Lineage: Eukaryota; Metazoa; Arthropoda; Insecta; Odonata; Argiolestidae
Description: eukaryotic LSU rRNA
Rfam family: Eukaryotic large subunit ribosomal RNA
Source: RNAcentral